RNAcentral lists this ribosomal RNA (253 nucleotides) under uncultured bacterium. RNAcentral's name for it is "partial 16S ribosomal RNA". It matches the Rfam family "Bacterial small subunit ribosomal RNA", at positions 524 to 776 of the family's 1533-position model. The record is from RNAcentral.
UACAGAGGUCUCAAGCGUUGUUCGGAUUCAUUGGGCGUAAAGAGCUCGUAGGCGGUUUGUCGCGUCUGCUGUGAAAUCCUCAGGCUCAACCUGGGGCUUGCAGUGGGUACGGGCAGACUAGAGUGCGGUAGGGGUGACUGGAAUUCCUGGUGGAGCGGUGAAAUGCGCAGAUAUCAGGAGGAACACCCGUAGCGAAGGCGGCACUCUGGGCCGGAACUGACGCUGAGGAGCGAAAGCGUGGGGAGCGAACAGG